Molecule: long non-coding RNA, 3568 nt
Organism: Felis catus (domestic cat)
Lineage: Eukaryota; Metazoa; Chordata; Mammalia; Carnivora; Felidae
Exons: 7
Source: RefSeq, a predicted model, not a curated record
ACACGGCCGCAGUUAGGGAACCUCCGGCCUACUAUAUGGUGGUGGUAACACAGGAAGCUGGACGUCCCCGUGGAAUCCAGAAAGACGGAGCCCGGAGGAAGCACAUGUCCCCACUGGUCCAGCAGCGGCUGAGGCGAAGGCCGCAUGUGACUUUGUGGACCGUGACACGUUACCAGGAAGCACAAAUCUGGCUGCGCCACAUUACCGCCGGCUCUGAGGAUCCCGUUACCGAGGGGCUUCCGUUCUCGAUUGGCGUACAGUCCUCCGCGUGAACCCUCCUCAGCUCGCCGGAAGGGAGAAACGGGUGUUUCAGAAGUGACGCUUCUCCAUAUUUGCGGGGAUUUCGACAUCAUCAUAAUCAUCUAGAGGCUCGAUGUAGCUCGGGAUGGAGAGGGUCUUAUUUCUGACCUUAUUGACCAGCGAGUAUGUGGCCGGCGGCUGGCUCGGGGUGUCCUGUGGGACUAGAGCACACGAAAAGGUCCUUGCAGCCCAAGCUGCUGUGUGUUUUCAUACAUAUAUAAAAAGACAGAGACAGUGCAAGUGGGGGAGGGACAGAGAACCCCAAGCAGGCUCCGUGCUGCCAGCGCAAAGCCGUACGCGGGGCUUGAACUCACGAAACCGUGAGAUCAUGACCUGAGCCGAAACCAGGAGUCGGACGCUCAACUGGCCGAACCACGCAGGCGCCCCCAUAUGUAUUUUUGACUCAGUGACUCAGCAUGAUUUCCAUGGGCUUGGGUGGUCUGGCUACUUCCUGGUGGACCAGCUCCCCAUUUGAUGGGGGACACUGUUGUACAGACAGGACACCGUCUCAGGAUCGGCCGAGUGGGUGAAUGGCAGACGGCAGUCAGACGCCCUGGCUCCCACGUCCCCCUGCCUGAGCCCGCACGACACAGAAAACGCAAAGCGGAAGUGCAGACGGCACGCUGACCCGAGCCAGUCCCCGAAUGAGCACGGUCAUGGGAGACCCCCAUUCUCACGAGGAAGUGAUACGAAGCUUAUUUCCUUUUUGGCACAUCCCUCACAGUGACUUAGUGUUUUCCAGAACAUUCCAUGAUUGCUCGGGCACGAAUCUCUGCUCAGAAGGAAGGGGACAGCAGGGUUUGCAAAAGGUAGAAUGAGUGAAGAGGGAACACGUAGCAAAAGCCCCAAGGUGGCCGCGGGAAGGAAGACGAAACGGCAGCUAGACCUCAGACCCUCAGAUGGGGUCGCCGCGGCCUCUGCCGCGACUCUGUCUUUCCCAAGAGGACCUGAGAAGAAGACCGCCGUCAUUCCCUGCACAGCCCUGCGGCGAGACCCAAGUUCACAUCCAGGCUCCAGCAGUCACUCGCUGUGUCGCCUUGGGUGAGACACUGAACUUCUGUGUGUCUCAGUGUCCCCAUCUGUCAAAGGGGAAUAACGAAUGUGCCUGCCUCGUAGUGCUGUUGAGAGGCCGACAGGAGAUCAUGCCUGUGAAGUGCGUCACACGGGCCCGGACACACGGGGGCUGCCCCAUACAUGUAAGCUCUUAUGUGUCCAUUCGGUCAAGACCUGAAUUGUCUCCUAACCUCCAGGCACCGUUCUUAGUGGCCAGUAAACCGUGGUGAGGAAGACGAGAGGCUCCUGUUUCCCGGAGUUUCUGUUCCAGGGGAGGAGAGAGAUCUUAAACACACGAGCAGCAGAUGGACGAAGAUGACAAGGUCUCACUCCUUGUGGAGCCCGGACCUUUCGGCGACCGGCGAGCAGGGUUCUGAGGCUGUCCCAGACGCCGUGGCAGAAAACUGCUUCGUUGGGGAAUGAUUGACCCAGAAAAGGCUGUGCGUAUCCGGUGUAUACAACACGCGUACCACUCGAUGUGCUUGGAGCUGAGACAGCCUCUGACAUUCUCUGGACUCGUGCUGUCUUCUGAGUCCCAAAGAACUGAAAGCGGAACCCUCGUUCAAGAGCUUCCAGCACUGCCAAGACCUCAGCCUUCAGCCGUGCCCUGUUCGGCGUACUUACAACCGCGUCAUCCUGCCCUCAGGACAGACUCUGGAUCUCAUUCACACUGUGACCUCCGCAACUGAUAACAGCUUAAGUGUGUGUGUGUGGGGGGGAGGUGCUCCACCGUCAGAAUGAUGAAAACCCAGAAGACCCAGAAGAGAAGCUGGGACACUGAGGCCGAGGAAAGGUUGCCUCGUCCGGGGCUGGGUGCUGGGCAGAGGCGGGGGCGGGGGGGGGGGAGGCAGACCCGUGCGUGAGCCCACGUCCCGUGACUCCGGCGGGUUACCGGACGUUUGUUCCCGGCGGUCCACACUGGCGAGUCAGCUCCGCCACCCAGAGCGGGGCCCAUCUCUCUGCCACUGUCUCCGUCACCUGGAAGACAGUAGGCGCUCGGUGCGGGUCUGCGAGCGGAUGAACGUGACUGCCGCCUCUCUCCCGGCCCUACAGGUGCGCUCCGCCUCGGAUGAUGCAGGCGGGAGGGCGGUUUGGGGUCUGCCUCCUAACCGUCCAGCCGCCUGGCCUGGCCUGGCCUGGCCUGGCCUGGCCUCGCCACCCGCCACCGGCCGCGGGCAUUGGGCGCUGGCCCGGGAAGCCGAGACCCUGCCUGCCUGCACGUGGGUGUCUCUGCUUUCCUCCCAUGACGCACAUCCUCGCCCUCGCCGCGGGGGAGGCACUGAGCCCAGGCACCCACCCGGCCCCGGCUCUCACUUCCCCAAAAGGCAUUUCCAGGGAGUCGGCGACGGAAGUCCCAGUCCAACCCCCGCUGGGAAUUCUGGAGACUGGCUUGAUUCCACACUCGCUUUUUCCUGGGUUUUUUUUCGUUUUUUUUUUUUUUUUAACCAAAUUCUGUAGUGUAAGAAAUAGCUUACGACAUGACAGCCAUGCAUACGUCCACACGCAGGACACGUCUCCCGAAAUGUCUCUCUGACCCCUGAGGAGCUCCAGCAUUUUCGCCCCUAAUCCAGCCUCGCUCGUGAAAAAUGUAUUGGUGUGAGGCCCCUGUGUUUCUUUCAAGACCCACGCUACUGCUCAAGUCCUGCGUGAUUGAAAAACUCGACUUUUUCUCACGAGAAAGGAAUGAUCUGAAGUAGUCAUGAGUCCCAAAAGGCGGGGAGAACGUGUGUGUGUGUGUGUGGGGGCGGGGGGAUGGGGUUCUAGGAGGCUGGAGAGGCUUCGGGGAAGUUUCCGUGGGACGAGGCAGGUCGCACGCAGCUCCGUGGGAGGAUGGGGCCCCGCCCCUUGCUCGCUGCCUGGAGUUAGGGCUUCCAGGCUAAUCCCCUUGGCCGAGGCCAGCCCUGCCUGAGACCACGAGGCUGUGGGGCACCUGCUGGGUCUCAAAGACUCAGUGUGGGGGCGCCUGGGUGGCUCAGUGGGUUGGACGUUCGACUCUUGAUAUGGCCCAGGUCAUGAUCUCAUAGAGCAUGAGAUCAAGCCCCACGUCGGGCUCUGUGCUGACAACGUGGAGGCUGCUUGGGAUUCCCCAUCCCUCCCCCCUCUCUGCCCCUCCCCUGCUCUCUCUCUUCCAAAAUAAAUAAAUAACGUAAAAAGAAAAAUGCUUAGUGUGGAAGGAAGAACAUAAAAGAUCUAGUUAAUAAACGUUUAUAUGGAU